This 569-nucleotide ribosomal RNA is filed under the name uncultured bacterium. Its description in RNAcentral is "partial 16S ribosomal RNA". It matches the Rfam family "Bacterial small subunit ribosomal RNA", at positions 355 to 912 of the family's 1533-position model. The record is from RNAcentral.
UGGGGAAUUUUGGACAAUGGGCGAAAGCCUGAUCCAGCAAUGCCGCGUGUGUGAAGAAGGCCUUCGGGUUGUAAAGCACUUUUGUCCGGAAAGAAAUCCUUGGCUCUAAUACAGUCGGGGGAUGACGGUACCGGAAGAAUAAGCACCGGCUAACUACGUGCCAGCAGCCGCGGUAAUACGUAGGGUGCAAGCGUUAAUCGAAAUUCUGGGCGUAAAGCGUGCGCAGGCGGUUUGCUAAGACCGAUGUGAAAAUCCCCGGGCUCAAACCUGGGGAACUGCAUUGGUGACUGGCAGGCUAGAGUAUGGCAGAGGGGGUAGAAUUCCACGGUGUAGCAGUGAAAUGCGUAGAGAUGUGGAGGAAUACCGAUGGCGAAGGCAGCCCCUGGGCCAAUACUGACGCUCAUGCACGAAAAGCGUGGGGAGCAAAACAGGAUUAGAUACCCUGGUAGUCCACGCCCUAAAACGAUGUCAACUAGUUGUUGGGGAUUCAUUUCCUUAGUAACGUAGCUAACGCGUGAAGUUGACCGCCUGGGGAGUACGGUCGCAAGAUUAAAAACUCAAAGGAAUUG